Molecule: transfer RNA, 74 nt
Filed under: Planctomycetia bacterium
Lineage: Bacteria; Pseudomonadati; Planctomycetota; Planctomycetia
Description: tRNA-Ala
Rfam family: tRNA
About the family: Transfer RNA (tRNA) molecules are approximately 80 nucleotides in length. Their secondary structure includes four short double-helical elements and three loops (D, anti-codon, and T loops). Further hydrogen bonds mediate the characteristic L-shaped molecular structure. tRNAs have two regions of fundamental functional importance: the anti-codon, which is responsible for specific mRNA codon recognition, and the 3' end, to which the tRNAs corresponding amino acid is attached (by aminoacyl-tRNA synthetases). tRNAs cope with the degeneracy of the genetic code in two manners: having more than one tRNA (with a specific anti-codon) for a particular amino acid; and 'wobble' base-pairing, i.e. permitting non-standard base-pairing at the 3rd anti-codon position.
Source: RNAcentral
GGGGGAUUAGCUCAGCUGGGAGAGCGCUUGCAUGGCAUGCAAGAGGUCAUCGGUUCAAAUCCGUUAUCCUCCAC